RNAcentral lists this unclassified non-coding RNA (912 nucleotides) under Hevea brasiliensis (rubber tree). Lineage: Eukaryota; Viridiplantae; Streptophyta; Magnoliopsida; Malpighiales; Euphorbiaceae. The record is from RNAcentral.
UCAUGGGAAUACAACUUACAAUUUAAAUUGUAUGAAUUGAUAUUCUCAUGUUGCAUGUCAUUUUAAAGCUAUAUAAGAUCAAACUCAUCUUAUGAUGGGUCUCAUUUAGUAGAUCAAGUAUGCUAAAGUUAGCUUGUUUGAAAAUUGUAUCUUUGGAUAUCAUAUUUUAAGUCUUAUAGAAAUUGUGAUCCAUAAAUGUGUACCAUUUCUUGUGGGUGUCAUUAAAAUUUUUUUGUUGCUGACGUCGCAUAUAAAGUUUCGCUAAUAAAGAAAAGUUUGGUGAAGAAAACCUUGUUGGCCUAUUUGUUUUUUCCUCAUUUUAAUGCUCUCUUAUGCUGUGUUUGGGAUAUGGCUUAGAGGGGAGUGGAAGAGAAAAUGUGUUUGUGGGCCCCACAUCUUCGGAAACAAAUUUGUGGGUUCCACUGCUCAUUCUCUCCCCUUUCCCUUUCCCCCCAUCCCCAAACACACAGACUUUUGAUCUUUGGAAACAAAUCUCUGAUGUCUGUAGCAUUUGGGAACUUCAAAGCUGCUGCUCCAUUUCAAAAUGCUUAUUUAUUAGUCAUGUACUAGAGCAAUUAAAUUUCUUUAGCAUUAUAUUUUCAUUAAACUUUGUUUUGUUUAGCAUGAUACUGUGAUUGUCCUGUGGCAUUUGAAGUUGAAAUUUGUGUAGAAAAUUUGAUAGCUUGCUUCUAGAUUUUAAAAUUGUUUUUGUUUUUGAUGUUUACAGGUGAUGGCACCAAAACAGCCUAAUACUGGCCUUUUUGUGGGUCAAAAUAAAGGACAUGUAGUGACAAAGAAGGAAUUGGCUCCACGUCCUUCUGACAGAAAGGGGGUGGGUUAAUUUACUAUGGUUCAUACAUGCAGUCGACUUUAGCUUUCUUUUGCUUUCUAACCUUUUUUUUUUUUUUUUUU